GGAACUGGAGGAACUCUGAGCAGCGACGCCGCGUGAGUGACGAAGGCCUUCGGGUCGUAAAGCUCUGUUGAAUGGGAAAAAACAAAUGAUGGUACCAUUCGAGAAAGGACCGGCUAACUUCGUGCCAGCAGCCGCGGUAAGACGAGGGGUCCUAGCGUUGCUCGGAAUCAUUGGGCGUAAAGCGUAUGUAGGCGGCCUUAUAAGUCAGGUGUGAAAUCCCCGGGCUCAACCCGGGACGUGCAUUUGAUACUGUAAGGCUUGAGUAUGGGAGAGGAUAGUAGAAUUCCUGGUGUAGUGGUGAAAUACGUAGAUAUCAGGAGGAAUACCGGUGGCGAAGGCGGCUAUCUGGCCCAAUACUGACGCUGAGAUACGAAA
Molecule: ribosomal RNA, 375 nt
Filed under: uncultured bacterium
Lineage: Bacteria
Description: bacterial SSU rRNA
Rfam family: Bacterial small subunit ribosomal RNA
Source: RNAcentral